Molecule: ribosomal RNA, 660 nt
Filed under: uncultured bacterium
Lineage: Bacteria
Description: bacterial SSU rRNA
Rfam family: Bacterial small subunit ribosomal RNA
Source: RNAcentral
AGUGGCGGACGGGUGAGUAACGCGUGAGAAUCUGCCUUGGGGUCGGGGACAACCACUGGAAACGGUGGCUAAUACCGGAUAAGCCGAUUGGUGAAAGAUUUAUUGUCCGAAGAGGAGCUCGCGUCUGAUUAGCUAGUUGGUGAGGUAAGAGCUCACCAAGGCAGCGAUCAGUAGCUGGUCUGAGAGGACGAUCAGCCACACUGGGACUGAGACACGGCCCAGACUCCUACGGGAGGCAGCAGUGGGGAAUUUUCCGCAAUGGGCGAAAGCCUGACGGAGCAAGACCGCGUGAGGGAGGAAGGCUCUUGGGUUGUAAACCUCUUUUCUCAGGGAAGAAGCUCUGACGGUACCUGAGGAAUCAGCCUCGGCUAACUCCGUGCCAGCAGCCGCGGUAAUACGGAGGAGGCAAGCGUUAUCCGGAAUUAUUGGGCGUAAAGCGUCCGCAGGUGGCGAUUCAAGUCUGCUGUCAAAGCACGGGGCUUAACUCCGUAAAGGCAGUGGAAACUGAAUAGCUAGAGUGCCGUAGGGGUAGAGGGAAUUCCCGGUGUAGCGGUGAAAUGCGUAGAGAUCGGGAAGAACAUCGGUGGCGAAAGCGCUCUACUGGACGGCAACUGACACUCAGGGACGAAAGCUAGGGGAGCGAAUGGGAUUAGAUACCCC